Saccostrea cuccullata (small rock oyster) is the source of this 397-nucleotide long non-coding RNA. RefSeq lists it as uncharacterized. The transcript has 3 exons. The record is from RefSeq and is a predicted model, not a curated record. NCBI's taxonomy places the organism in Eukaryota, Metazoa, Mollusca, Bivalvia, Ostreida, Ostreidae.
AUGUGCGCGCUUACUCCGUGCCGAUUUGAAUAAGAAAACUUUGCACCAUAUAAACCACAAUAAUAACCUCGGGAUUUAUUAUCUUUGAAUGCAUGGUGUUGGUUGCAUCAUCCGUAUUUUCAAAUUCCCACAUUCAAAAGACCCGCCUUUCGUGAAGGCAAAGGUAUUGUGCUAUUCUUUCCGAGGGGCAGAUUACUUAGCAUUUUCAGUGUAUGUGAUUCUAACUAAGUCAUAGAUCCGCUGCUCUGUUCUACCUAUACAGUGAACAUAGGAUUUCUUUUAAAAUUCAGUAAAUGGAUUAGACGCCGUUUUCAACCUUAAAAAACCCGGUGGCUUGAAAGAAAAUAAAUUCAAACUUGUACCGAGAAUGGAAUUUAAAUGUGAUUAACAUACUGAA